This is a non-coding RNA of Necator americanus (New World hookworm), 45 nucleotides long. The record is from Rfam. NCBI's taxonomy places the organism in Eukaryota, Metazoa, Nematoda, Chromadorea, Rhabditida, Ancylostomatidae.
CUAACGGCCCUUUUUAGGGCCACCAACUUGCGAAUACAAAUCGAA